UACAGAGGGUGCGAGCGUUGUUCGGAAUUACUGGGCGUAAAGCGCGCGCAGGCGGCCUUUUAAGUCUGACGGUGAAAUGCCGGGGCUCAACCCCGUGCCCGCCGCGGAUACUGGGAGGCUGGAGACAUGUAGAGGCAAGCAGAAUUCCGGGUGUAGCGGUGGAAUGCGUAGAGAUCCGGAAGAACACCGGAGGCGAAGGCGGCUUGCUGGGCAUUGUCUGACGCUGAGGCGCGAAAGCGUGGGGAGCGAACAGG
This 254-nucleotide ribosomal RNA is filed under the name uncultured bacterium. Its description in RNAcentral is "partial 16S ribosomal RNA". It matches the Rfam family "Bacterial small subunit ribosomal RNA", at positions 524 to 776 of the family's 1533-position model. The record is from RNAcentral.